This is a long non-coding RNA of Tripterygium wilfordii, 721 nucleotides long. RefSeq lists it as uncharacterized. NCBI's taxonomy places the organism in Eukaryota, Viridiplantae, Streptophyta, Magnoliopsida, Celastrales, Celastraceae. The record is from RefSeq and is a predicted model, not a curated record. The transcript is spliced from 3 exons.
GUUUGGCAGUGAGUUCAAACACUGCAAAACGCACCUCAUUGUGUUUUAUAUGGAUGCGUCUGGGUUAUUUGUGUUUGGGCAUGUGGUAGCAGCAACCUCACCACACCUGAGUUGAGUUUUUUAGUAAAGCAGAUCACAGCUAUGGCCAGCAAAAAAGUGGAAGUUAAACGCACGCGGGACGCUAAAUCUUCCGUCAGAUACGUUAAUGAAAUGUCAGAAAAGUCCUCCUAAUUUUUUUAUUAUUACAACUCUACCCUCAACCCUAUCAUCUUCUCUUUUACCAGUUACAACAAGUCCAGCCGCUCCUCCACUGUUCUCUCCCUGAAGCACGACAUCCUCCUGUCAAAUGGCAUGAUUGAGCGUUGAAACGUGACAUCGGAUCGGGUUCGUUUCAGCACAUAAAGUAGCUGGAUCUCUUUCAGAAUAGCAGUAGAGGAGUAGUUGGAUUAGGUAAAAAUGAGUCAACAAAGGAAUGAUGGAUGUGAUGAAGCCCCCCAAACAGAGAAGGCAAAUUGGGAGCAGGCUUUGACUGCUAUUUUCCUUGAAAUUUGUGUUGAACGAGUGAAGGCCGGUGAUAGACCUAACACUCACUUUACUCGUGAUGGGUGGAAGAAAAUAAUUUCUUCUUUCUUUGACAAGACUGGUAAGCUAUAUGACCAGCCACAAUUCAAAAAUAAAUGGGACAACCUUAAGAAAGAUUGGCGAGUUUGGGAGAAGUUAG